UGGGGAAUAUUGGACAAUGGGCGAAAGCCUGAUCCAGCCAUGCCGCGUGUGUGAAGAAGGUCUUCGGAUUGUAAAGCACUUUAAGUUGGGAGGAAGGGCAUUAACCUAAUACGUUAGUGUUUUGACGUUACCGACAGAAUAAGCACCGGCUAACUCUGUGCCAGCAGCCGCGGUAAUACAGAGGGUGCAAGCGUUAAUCGGAAUUACUGGGCGUAAAGCGCGCGUAGGUGGUCUGUUAAGUUGGAUGUGAAAUCCCCGGGCUCAACCUGGGAACUGCAUUCAAAACUGACUGACUAGAGUAUGGUAGAGGGUGGUGGAAUUUCCUGUGUAGCGGUGAAAUGCGUAGAUAUAGGAAGGAACGCCAGUGGCGAAGGCGACCACCUGGACUAAUACUGACACUGAGGUGCGAAAGCGUGGGGAGCAAACA
Molecule: ribosomal RNA, 427 nt
Filed under: uncultured bacterium
Lineage: Bacteria
Description: partial 16S ribosomal RNA
Rfam family: Bacterial small subunit ribosomal RNA
Source: RNAcentral